This 323-nucleotide ribosomal RNA is filed under the name uncultured cercomonad. RNAcentral describes it as "SSU rRNA". The stretch from base 108 to 323 matches the Rfam family "Eukaryotic small subunit ribosomal RNA", at positions 738 to 955 of the family's 1831-position model. The record is from RNAcentral. Lineage: Eukaryota; Cercozoa; Cercomonadida; Cercomonadidae.
GAUUUCUGGUUCGGCGCACUUGGCCCGCCUCGGUUUACGGGGUUGUGUGCCGGUGUGCGCCAUCCAUCCUUCGAGAGAACACUUCUGCCCUUCACUGGGAGGGAAGUGCAAUCUCGAUCUUUUACUUUGAAAAAAUUAGAGUGUUUAAAGCAGGCUUGCGCUAUGAAUACAUUAGCAUGGAAUAAUAAUUUAGGACUUUGGUCUUAUUUUGUUGGUUUCUAGGACUAAAGUAAUGAUUGAUAGGGAUAGUUGGGGGUGCUAGUAUUCAGCGGCCAGAGGUGAAAUUCUUGGAUUCGCUGAAGACUAACUUAUGCGAAAGCAUU